GCCUGGGUGGCUCAGUCAGUCGAGCAUCUGACUUCGGCUCAGGUCGUGAUCUCGCAGUUCGUGGGUUCAAGCCCCGCGUCGGGCU
Molecule: non-coding RNA, 85 nt
Organism: Felis catus (domestic cat)
Lineage: Eukaryota; Metazoa; Chordata; Mammalia; Carnivora; Felidae
Source: Rfam